AGCGCAGGUGGUUGUAUAAGUCUGAAGUAAAAGGCAGUGGCUCAACCAUUGUGUGCUUUGGAAACUGUACAACUUGAGUGCAGAAGGGGAGAGUGGAAUUCCAUGUGUAGCGGUGAAAUGCGUAGAUAUAUGGAGGAACACCGGUGGCGAAAGCAGCUCUCUGGUCUGUAACUGACACUGAGGCUCGAAAGCGUGGGGAGCAAACA
RNAcentral lists this ribosomal RNA (206 nucleotides) under uncultured bacterium. Its description in RNAcentral is "partial 16S ribosomal RNA". It matches the Rfam family "Bacterial small subunit ribosomal RNA", at positions 568 to 774 of the family's 1533-position model. The record is from RNAcentral.